GACAGAGGAUGCAAGCGUUAUCCAGAAUGAUUGGGCGUAAAGCGUCUGUAGGUGGCUUUUCAAGUCCGCCGUCAAAUCCUAGGGCUCAAUCCUGGACAGGCGGUGGAAACUACCAAGCUAGAGUACAGUAGGGGCAGAGGGAAUUUCCGGUGGAGCAGUGAAAUGCAUUGAGAUCGGAACGAACACCAAUGGCGAAAGCACACGGCUGGGCCAACACUGACACUGAGAGACGAAAGCUAGGGGAGCAAAUGGG
This 253-nucleotide ribosomal RNA is filed under the name uncultured bacterium. RNAcentral describes it as "partial 16S ribosomal RNA". It matches the Rfam family "Bacterial small subunit ribosomal RNA", at positions 524 to 776 of the family's 1533-position model. The record is from RNAcentral.